RNAcentral lists this ribosomal RNA (533 nucleotides) under uncultured bacterium. Its description in RNAcentral is "partial 16S ribosomal RNA". It matches the Rfam family "Bacterial small subunit ribosomal RNA", at positions 355 to 874 of the family's 1533-position model. The record is from RNAcentral.
UGGGGAAUCUUCCGCAAUGGACGAAAGUCUGACGGAGCAACGCCGCGUGAGUGAAGAAGGUUUUCGGAUCGUAAAACUCUGUCUUUUGGGGCGAACGUGAGUAUGGUGAACAAUCAUAGUCAGUGACGGUACCAAAGGAGGAAGCCACGGCUAACUACGUGCCAGCAGCCGCGGUAAUCGUAGGUGGCAAGCGUUGUCCGGAAUUAUUGGGCGUAAAGAGCGCGUAGGCGGGAUAGUCAGUCUGUUGUAAAAGUGCGGGGCUCAACCCCGUGAUGGCAAUGGAAACAGCUAUUCUUGAGUGCAGGAGAGGAAAGUGGAAUUCCCAGUGUAGCGGUGAAAUGCGUAGAUAUUGGGAGGAACACCAGUGGCGAAGGCGACUUUCUGGACUGUGUCUGACGCUGAGGCGCGAAAGCCAGGGGGAGCGAACGGGAUUAGAUACCCCCGGUAGUCCUGGCCGUAAACGAUGGGUACUAGGUGUGGGAGGUAUCGACCCCCUUCCGUGCCGGAGUUAACGCAAAUAAGUACCCCCGCCU